RNAcentral lists this ribosomal RNA (465 nucleotides) under uncultured bacterium. RNAcentral describes it as "partial 16S ribosomal RNA". It matches the Rfam family "Bacterial small subunit ribosomal RNA", at positions 338 to 795 of the family's 1533-position model. The record is from RNAcentral.
CCUACGGGGGGCAGCAGUAGGGAAUCUUCCACAAUGGGCGAAAGCCUGAUGGAGCAACGCCGCGUGGGUGAAGAAGGUCUUCGGAUCGUAAAACCCUGUUGUUAGAGAAGAAAGUGCGUGAGAGUAACUGUUAACGUUUCGACGGUAUCUACCCAGAAAGCCACGGCUAACUCCGUGCCAGCAGCCGCGGUAAUACGUAGGGGGCAAGCGUUAUACGGAUUUAUUGGGCGUAAAGGGAACGCAGGCGGUCUUUUAAGUCUGAGGUGAAAGCCUGCGGCUUAACCGGAGUAGUGCAUUGGAAACUGGGAGACUUGAGUGCGGAAGAGGAGAGGGGAACUCCAUGUGUAGCGGUGAAAUGCGUAGAUAUAUGGAAGAACACCAGUGGCGAAGGCGGCUUUCUGGUCUGUAACUGACGCUGAGGUUCGAAAGCGUGGGUAGCAAACAGGAUUAGAUACCCUUGUAGUC